This 808-nucleotide ribosomal RNA is filed under the name uncultured bacterium. RNAcentral's name for it is "bacterial SSU rRNA". It matches the Rfam family "Bacterial small subunit ribosomal RNA", at positions 59 to 916 of the family's 1533-position model. The record is from RNAcentral.
CAGUCGACGGGCUCUUCGGAGCUAGUGGCGGACGGGUGAGUAACACGUGGGAACGUGCCUUUAGGUUCGGAAUAAGCCCGGGAAACUGGGUCUAAUACCGGAUGUGCCCUUCGGGGGAAAGAUUUAUCGCCUUUAGAGCGGCCCGCGUCUGAUUAGCUAGUUGGUGGUGUAAUGGACCACCAAGGCGACGAUCAGUAGCUGGUCUGAGAGGAUGAUCAGCCACAUUGGGACUGAGACACGGCCCAAACUCCUACGGGAGGCAGCAGUGGGGAAUCUUGCGCAAUGGGCGAAAGCCUGACGCAGCCAUGCCGCGUGAAUGAUGAAGGUCUUAGGAUUGUAAAAUUCUUUCACCGGGGACGAUAAUGACGGUACCCGGAGAAGAAGCCCCGGCUAACUUCGUGCCAGCAGCCGCGGUAAUACGAAGGGGGCUAGCGUUGCUCGGAAUUACUGGGCGUAAAGGGAGCGUAGGCGGACAUUUAAGUCAGGGGUGAAAUCCCGGGGCUCAACCUCGGAACUGCCUUUGAUACUGGAUGUCUUGAGUGUGAGAGAGGUAUGUGGAACUCCGAGUGUAGAGGUGAAAUUCGUAGAUAUUCGGAAGAACACCAGUGGCGAAGGCGACAUACUGGCUCAUUACUGACGCUGAGGCUCGAAAGCGUGGGGAGCAAACAGGAUUAGAUACCCUGGUAGUCCACGCCGUAAACGAUGAUUGCUAGUUGUCGGGGUGUUUACACCUCGGUGACGCAGCUAACGCAUUAAGCAAUCCGCCUGGGGAGUACGGUCGCAAGAUUAAAACUCAAGGAAUUGACGG